Molecule: long non-coding RNA, 122 nt
Organism: Maniola jurtina (meadow brown)
Lineage: Eukaryota; Metazoa; Arthropoda; Insecta; Lepidoptera; Nymphalidae
Exons: 3
Source: RefSeq, a predicted model, not a curated record
AACAUACCUAAAUGUCAUAUUAGUUGUUCAGUUUCUCUCCUUCGGGACAGGCAAAGAUCAUAGACCAUACAGCCUGGUAAGUCAUAAAUAUCAAUGAUAACAUUUCUGGUUACAUUGAAGAA